AGUGAACGCUGGCGGUAGGCCUAACACAUGCAAGUCGAACGGCAGCACAGUAAGAGCUUGCUCUUACGGGUGGCGAGUGGCGGACGGGUGAGGAAUACAUCGGAAUCUACUUUUUCGUGGGGGAUAACGUAGGGAAACUUACGCUAAUACCGCAUACGACCUACGGGUGAAAGCAGGGGAUCUUCGGACCUUGCGCGAUUGAAUGAGCCGAUGUCGGAUUAGCUAGUUGGCGGGGUAAAGGCCCACCAAGGCGACGAUCCGUAGCUGGUCUGAGAGGAUGAUCAGGCACACUGGAACUGAGACAAGGACCAGACUCCUACGGGAGGAAGCAGGGGGGAAUAGUGGACAAUGGGCGCAAGCCUGAUCCAGCCAUACCGCGUGGGUGAAGAAGGCCUUCGGGUUGUAAAGCCCUUUUGUUGGGAAAGAAAAGCAGCAGGUUAAUACCCCGCUGUUCGGACGGUACCCAAAGAAUAAGCACCGGCUAACUUCGUG
This 492-nucleotide ribosomal RNA is filed under the name uncultured bacterium. RNAcentral's name for it is "partial 16S ribosomal RNA". It matches the Rfam family "Bacterial small subunit ribosomal RNA", at positions 29 to 507 of the family's 1533-position model. The record is from RNAcentral.